This 1372-nucleotide ribosomal RNA is filed under the name uncultured bacterium. RNAcentral describes it as "bacterial SSU rRNA". It matches the Rfam family "Bacterial small subunit ribosomal RNA", at positions 28 to 1381 of the family's 1533-position model. The record is from RNAcentral.
GAUGAACGCUGGUUUCGUGCCUAAUACAUGCAAGUCGAGCGAACGGACGAGAAGCUUGCUUCUCUGAUGUUAGCGGCGGACGGGUGAGUAACACGUGGAUAACCUACCUAUAAGACUGGGAUAACUUCGGGAAACCGGAGCUAAUACCGGAUAAUAUUUUGAACCGCAUGGUUCAAAAGUGAAAGACGGUCUUGCUGUCACUUAUAGAUGGAUCCGCGCUGCAUUAGCUAGUUGGUAAGGUAACGGCUUACCAAGGCAACGAUGCAUAGCCGACCUGAGAGGGUGAUCGGCCACACUGGAACUGAGACACGGUCCAGACUCCUACGGGAGGCAGCAGUAGGGAAUCUUCCGCAAUGGGCGAAAGCCUGACGGAGCAACGCCGCGUGAGUGAUGAAGGUCUUCGGAUCGUAAAACUCUGUUAUUAGGGAAGAACAUAUGUGUAAGUAACUGUGCACAUCUUGACGGUACCUAAUCAGAAAGCCACGGCUAACUACGUGCCAGCAGCCGCGGUAAUACGUAGGUGGCAAGCGUUAUCCGGAAUUAUUGGGCGUAAAGCGCGCGUAGGCGGUUUUUUAAGUCUGAUGUGAAAGCCCACGGCUCAACCGUGGAGGGUCAUUGGAAACUGGAAAACUUGAGUGCAGAAGAGGAAAGUGGAAUUCCAUGUGUAGCGGUGAAAUGCGCAGAGAUAUGGAGGAACACCAGUGGCGAAGGCGACUUUCUGGUCUGUAACUGACGCUGAUGUGCGAAAGCGUGGGGAUCAAACAGGAUUAGAUACCCUGGUAGUCCACGCCGUAAACGAUGAGUGCUAAGUGUUAGGGGGUUUCCGCCCCUUAGUGCUGCAGCUAACGCAUUAAGCACUCCGCCUGGGGAGUACGACCGCAAGGUUGAAACUCAAAGGAAUUGACGGGGACCCGCACAAGCGGUGGAGCAUGUGGUUUAAUUCGAAGCAACGCGAAGAACCUUACCAAAUCUUGACAUCCUUUGACAACUCUAGAGAUAGAGCCUUCCCCUUCGGGGGACAAAGUGACAGGUGGUGCGUGGUUGUCGUCAGCUCGUGUCGUGAGAUGUUGGGUUAAGUCCCGCAACGAGCGCAACCCUUAAGCUUAGUUGCCAUCAUUAAGUUGGGCACUCUAAGUUGACUGCCGGUGACAAACCGGAGGAAGGUGGGGAUGACGUCAAAUCAUCAUGCCCCUUAUGAUUUGGGCUACACACGUGCUACAAUGGACAAUACAAAGGGCAGCGAAACCGCGAGGUCAAGCAAAUCCCAUAAAGUUGUUCUCAGUUCGGAUUGUAGUCUGCAACUCGACUACAUGAAGCUGGAAUCGCUAGUAAUCGUAGAUCAGCAUGCUACGGUGAAUACGUUCCCGGGUCU